UCAUGCCCUAUAUGACUUGGGCUACACACGUGCUACAAUGGCAGGUACAGAGGGCAGCGAGAUUGUGAAAUUAAGCGAACCUCAAAAAGCCUGUCCCAGUUCGGAUUGCACUCUGCAACUCGAGUGCAUGAAGUUGGAGUUGCUAGUAAUCGCAGAUCAGAAUGCUGCGGUGAAUGCGUUCCCGGGUCUUGUACACACCGCCCGUCACACCAUGGAAGUUGGCAAUACCCGAAGCCUGUGAGCGAACCGAUUGGACGCAGCAGUCGAAGGUAGGGUCAGUAACUGGGGUGAAGUCGUAACAAGGUAGCCGUAUCGGAA
RNAcentral lists this ribosomal RNA (318 nucleotides) under uncultured bacterium. Its description in RNAcentral is "bacterial SSU rRNA". It matches the Rfam family "Bacterial small subunit ribosomal RNA", at positions 1193 to 1510 of the family's 1533-position model. The record is from RNAcentral.